Molecule: small nucleolar RNA, 227 nt
Filed under: Kazachstania africana CBS 2517
Lineage: Eukaryota; Fungi; Ascomycota; Saccharomycetes; Saccharomycetales; Saccharomycetaceae
Description: Small nucleolar RNA snR11
Rfam family: Small nucleolar RNA snR11
Source: Rfam by way of RNAcentral
CACAAUGUCUUUUAUUGAUAGACACCCAGAGUCACGGUUCGUCCAGGAUGAAAUAUGCCAGUGGACGUAUAUAUUUUACUCAGUAAGAUAUACGGUAAGGUACUAGUUGCUUUACUGCCGUGCUCGCGGUUGAUCUUAGAAUAAUCCUUUUUUGGAAUUUGAAAAGUAUCUACGCUAGAACUGUGAAUCAAUAUAAGUUAUGAUUAGAUAUUUCUUCACGUACAAAU